GUGGGGAAUAUUGGACAAUGGGCGAAAGCCUGAUCCAGCCAUGCCGCGUGAGUGAUGAAGGCCUUAGGGUUGUAAAGCUCUUUCAGUAGGGAAGAUAAUGACGGUACCUACAGAAGAAGCCCCGGCUAACUUCGUGCCAGCAGCCGCGGUAAUACGAAGGGGGCUAGCGUUGUUCGGAUUUACUGGGCGUAAAGCGCACGUAGGCGGAUUGGUCAGUUAGAGGUGAAAUCCUGGAGCUCAACUCCAGAACUGCCUUUAAUACUGCCAGUCUAGAGUCCAGAAGAGGUGAGUGGAACUCCUAGUGUAGAGGUGGAAUUCGUAGAUAUUAGGAAGAACACCAGUGGCGAAGGCGGCUCACUGGUCUGGUACUGACGCUGAGGUGCGAAAGCGUGGGGAGCAAACAGGAUUAGAUACCCGGGUAGGUCC
RNAcentral lists this ribosomal RNA (426 nucleotides) under uncultured bacterium. RNAcentral describes it as "bacterial SSU rRNA". It matches the Rfam family "Bacterial small subunit ribosomal RNA", at positions 354 to 796 of the family's 1533-position model. The record is from RNAcentral.